Drosophila willistoni is the source of this 73-nucleotide transfer RNA. It matches the Rfam family "tRNA". Rfam says of the family: Transfer RNA (tRNA) molecules are approximately 80 nucleotides in length. Lineage: Eukaryota; Metazoa; Arthropoda; Insecta; Diptera; Drosophilidae. The record is from Rfam.
GUUUCCGUAGUGUAGCGGUUAUCACGUGUGCUUCACACGCACAAGGUCCCCGGUUCGAACCCGGGCGGAAACA